RNAcentral lists this long non-coding RNA (2664 nucleotides) under Triticum aestivum (bread wheat). Its description in RNAcentral is "long non-coding RNA (TAES_LNC005357)". The record is from RNAcentral. Lineage: Eukaryota; Viridiplantae; Streptophyta; Magnoliopsida; Poales; Poaceae.
CCCUCGAUGCGGCUAUAUCUCCCACGUGUCGAAGCACGACUUAGAGGCAUAACCGCAUUGAAAGCAAUGUCGCAAGUGAGGUAAUCUUCACACAACCCAUGUAAUAUAUAAAGGAAAGAGAUACAUAGUUGGCUUACAAUCGCCACUUCACACAAUUACAUGAAUAAAGCAUUACAUCAACCAGAUACAAUCAAGGUCCGACUACGGAACCAAAAUAAAAGAAGAACCCCAAAUGCGACAAAGGUCCCCGAUCGACCCCAACUGGGCUCCACUACUGAUCAACUAGCACGGAAACAACACAAAGGACAAGAUCUUCAACAAGCUCCUCCUGAGCUUGGUUGUGUCAUCUGCACGGACUCAUCGGCACCUGCAAGCUGGUUUUGGAAGUAUCUGUGAGCCACAGGGACUCAGCAAUCUCGCACCCACGAGAUCAAGACUAUUUAAGCUUAUGGGUAAGGUAAAGGGAUGAGGUGGAGCUGCAGCAAGCGACUAGCAUAUAUGGUGGCUAACAUACGCAACUGAGAGCGAGAAGAGAAGGCAAAGCAUGAUCGAUAAAAGUAUGAUCAAGAAGUGAUCCUGGACUACUUACGUCAAGCAUAACUCCAACACCGUGUUCACUUCCCGGACUCCGCCGAGAAGAGACCAUCACGGUUACGCACGCGGUUGAUGUAUUUUAAAUAAGGUCAACUUCGGGUUUUCUACAACCGGACGUUAACAAAUUCCCAUCUGCCCAUAACCGCGGGCACGGCUUUCGAAAGUUCAAAUCCCUGCAGGGGUGUCCCAACUUAGCCCAUGACAAGCUCUCACGGUCAACGAAGGAAUAGACCUCCACCCGAGACACUCCGAUCAGACUCGGUAUCCCGGUACAACAAGACAUUUCGACAGGGUAAAACUAAACUAGCAACACCGCCCGAAUGUGCCGACAAAUCCCGAUAGGAGCUGCACAUAUCUCUUUCUCAGGGCACACUCAGAUGAGCGCUCCAUACAACUAAAACCAAACCUCGAGUUUCCCCGAGGGGGCGCUGCACAGGACUCUAGUUCGGACCAACACUCAGAGGAGCACUGGCCCGGGGGGGUUAAAAAAAUGAUGACCCUUGAGUCUGCAGAACCCAAGGGAAAGAAAAGGCUAGGUGGCAAAUGGUAAAACCAAUGUUGGGCAUUGCUGGAGAAGCUUUACUUAAGGCGAACUGUCAAGGGGUUCCCAUUAUAGCCCAACCGUGUAAGGAACGCAAAAUCCGGGAACAUAACACCGAUAUGACGGAAACUAGGGCGGCAAGAGUGGAACAAAACACCAGGCAUAAGGCCGAGCCUUCCACCCUUUACCAAGUAUAUAGAUGCAUUAAUUAAGUAAGAUAUAUUGUGAUAUCCCAACAAGUAAACAUGUUCCAACAAGGAACAACAUCUCCAUGUUCCAACAAGGAACAACUUCAAUCUUCACCUGCAACUAACAACGCUAUAAGAGGGGCUGAGCAAAGCGGUAACAUAGCCAAUCAACGGUUUGCUAGGACAUGGUGGGUUAGAGGUUUGACAUGGCAAUUUGGGAGGCUGACAAGCAAAUGGUAGGCAUCGUAGCAUAGGCAUAGCAAGAGCGAGCAAACUAGCAUAGCAAAGAUAGUAGUGAUUUCGAGGGUAUGAUCAUCUUGCCUGAAAUCCCGCAAGGAAGAAGAACGAGUCCAUGAAGAAGAUAAACGGAACAUAGACGAACGGGUCCUCACAAGCGCGAUGUUACCGGAACCAACCCGAAGAAGCAACACCGGAAAAGGAAGCACACAAAAUAAUAAACAACCAUCACAUAAACAUGUCAUGAUGCACAAUCAAGUAUGAUGCAUGUCCGGUUUAAAUAUGCAUGGCAUGGGAAAGUGCACAAACAAUCCUACAAAUUAAGUGGAGCUCAAUAUGCAACGAGUUGCAUAUUGACGAAACACCACAACAAGUUAUUUAGUUCGAUCUCGUUUAUGUACCCAACAAUAUUAAAUGUUGGUUAACAUGGCAAGAGGGUGAAGCAAAGUAAAACUACCUAUCUAGUCAAGUUUAAAUGAGGCCGGAAGCAACGAACAACAAUUCCGGAAACUCCCCAUAUGCAUAUUUUAGAUUAGGUCCUGUUCUGCCCUAAACGCAAUUUUAGGGUUGUUAAACAUGCAAAGUAAGGCCACCAUGCUAAACUAGGCAAAAUUCUACCCCAUUUACAUAUCAAGAUUAUUUAAUUUGGAGCUACGGUUGAAUACUUAUGAAUUAAAUCAUUUUAGCAAGGCAUAGGAGCAAAUUUAAACAAACAUCAUUGUAAACAUUUCAAACAUGGAUGAAAAAGGCAGAUUAUGAAAGUAGAUAAAAUUCUGAGCAUCUUACACAUAUAACAUGUUUUAUUUGGAUGCAUGGUUCAAAAGUUAUUAGCAGUUUAACAUAGGGGCAGUUCUGUAAAUAUGCAGUGCACUGGUUAAAUAGAAAAAAACGUUCGGCGAAAAAAAACGUGACUCGGGCCGAAUCUGUCUAGCCCAAAUAGCAAUAAAAAAAAAGGAGGCGCUGGGGAGGCCUCACCCAUGGGCUUUGGCCCGGUUCAGGGAAGAAGGUUGGCUGGGUGAGGAGGGGUGCGCCGGGCCGGCAAAGAAGCAGGCUGGGCCUGGCGCUUGCCUUGGUGGGCAAAAGGAGGCCCACACGUGGAGCGGG